CACCAAGCGAAAAAAAUUUCAAAUUUGUUAACAUCGGAUUUUCUGAAAAGAUUUCGUGAUACUACACAAAUCCAUCCUGAAAGUUUGAAACACAUUCCUGAAACUAAAAAAAAACCCCAUAAAUUUUCACAAACAAACUCAUCUCAGUCACACUCAGGAACAUUGGGAUUGCGGAUAAAAUACCACACAUAACAAGCACAAAAUAUAAUGGAAACAUUAAAUGUACUUGAGUGAGAGUUUUAAGAGGCAGAAGCCUUUGGUUCUGAACCUGCAUAUUAUGAGCCAAAUCAUCAUCAUCAUAAGCCAAAUCCUGAACAAAAAUGAAAAUAAUAAGCAAACCGUUCUCUCUAUAAUUUAAAGGAGAAAAAUAAAAGUGUAGAUGCUUCCCCUUAUCCUCAUAACUAUCGAUAUUCCCGAAUAUAGCUACAAUAAAAGAUUUUCUGAAACUACACAAAUCAUUCCUAAAAAAAUCACAAAAAUUUCACAAGCACAAGCAAUCGAAUAGAAAUUUCAUAAGAAAAUUUACGAGUCAACCAAACAUAUCAACAUGCAUAAGUCAAACAAGACACCAAGCAAAAAAAAAUUCAAAUUUGUUAACAUUGGAUUUUCUGGAAAGAUUUCCUGAAACUACACAAAUCCAUCCUGAAAUUAAAAAAAAAACCCACACAGUUUCACAAGUGCAAGCAAGAGACUAGUAAUGUCAUAAGCAAAUUCACGAGCCUACCAAAUAUAUCAACAUGCGUAAGACAAACAAGACACCAAGCAAAAAAAAUUCAAAUUUGUUAACAUCUGAUUUUCUCGAAAGCUUUUCUGAAACUACACAACUCCUUCCUGAAAUUUAAAAGAACAACACAAUUUCACAAGAACAAGCAAGAGACUAACAAUUUCAUAAGGAAAUUCACGAGCCUACCAAACAUAUCAACAAGCGUAAGCCAAACAAGACACCAAACAAAAAAAAUUCAAAUUUGUUAACAUCGGAUUUUCUGGAAAGAUUUCCUGAAACUACACAAAUCCAUCCUGAAAUUUAAAAAAAAAACACACAGUUUCACAAAUUCAAGCAAGAGACUAGAAAUGUCAUAAGCAAAUUCACGAGCCUACCAAAUAUAUCAACAUGCGUAAGACAAACAAGACACCAAGCAAAAAAAAAAAAUUUUGUUAACAUCUGAUUUUCUGGAAAGCUUUUCUGAAACUACACAACUCCUUCCUUAAAUUUAAAAGAACAACACAAUUUCACAAUAAAAAACAAGAGACUAACAAUUUCGUAAGCAAAUUCACGAGCCUACCAAACAUAUCAACAUGCGUAAGCCAAACAAGACACCAAGCAAAAAUAUUUUCAAAUUUGUUAACAUCGGAUUUUCUGGAAAACUUUCCUGAAACUAUACAAAUCCUUCCCGAAAUUUUAAAAACCACACAGUUUCACAAGCGCAAGCAAGAGACUAGAAAUGUCAUAAGAAGAUUCACGAGCCUAUCAAAUAUAUCAACAUGCGUAAGACAAACAAGAUACCAAGCAAAAAAAAUUCAAAUUUGUUAACCUCUGAUUUUUUGGAAGGCUUUCCUGAAACUACACAAAUCCUUCCUAAAAUUUAAAAAAACUACAUAGUUUCACAAGAACAAACAAGAGACUAACAAUGUCAUAAGCAAAUUCACGAGCCUACCAAACAUAUCAACAUGCGUAAGCCAAAUAAGACACCAAGCAAAAAGUUUUUCAAAUUUGUUAACAUCAGAUUUCUAGAAAGCUUUCCUGAAACUGCAGAAAUCCUUCCUGAAAUUCAAGAGCCUACCAAAUAUAUCAACAUGCCUAAGCAGAACAAGACAACAAGCAAAAAAAGUUUCAAAAUUCAGUACCAUCCGAUUUUCUGGAAGGCUUUCCUGAAACUACACAAAUGCUUCCUC
Molecule: long non-coding RNA, 1893 nt
Filed under: Brassica rapa (field mustard)
Lineage: Eukaryota; Viridiplantae; Streptophyta; Magnoliopsida; Brassicales; Brassicaceae
Description: long non-coding RNA (BRAP_LNC003550)
Source: RNAcentral